UUUUACCCCCUCUUUCUCUUGUGUUUCUAGAUGGUCUUUCUUUUUUACUUUUCUUAAAUUAUUUUCUGGAUCAUCUUUCUUAAAGUAAUAAAACAACCAAAUAAAGUCUUUAUAAUUUUCAUGUAACAAACUGUGUUAGUUUUGUUUCCUAUUGCUGCAAUAAAAAUAACUCUGACAAAGGCAACUUAGGUUUAAGGAAUAGUUUAUUUUAGUUCUCAGUUCCAGGCUGUAGUCCAUCACUACAGGGAAGUCACAACAGUGGGAGCUUGGGGGCGUUGGUUAUAUCCAAAAUUAGGAGCAGAGAAUAAUGAAUGUGUGUGUGCUUCUAAUGCUCAGCUCACUCUCUUCAUUCAGUCCAAACCAAUUAGAGCGGUAGUCCUCCACCUCCCUAAUGCUGCGACCCUGUAAUACAGUUCCUCCUAUUAUGGUGAACCCCAACCAUAAAAUUAUUCAUUGCUACUUCAUAACUGUAAUUUUGCUACUGCUGUGAAUGGUAAUAUAAAUAUCUAAUUUGUAGGAUAUGUGAUAUUGGCUUCCAGGGGUUGAGACCCACAGAUUAGAACUGCUGGAUUAAUACAAGACCCCACCUUCAAUGUGGCUUUUCCCAUCUCCAUCAACUCAAUUAAGAAAAUCUCUCAUAAACCAGCCUAGUCUAGACAGUUCUACAUUGAGACUCCCUUCAUGGGUGAGUCUAGAUUAUGUCAAAUUGACAAGCAAACUAACCAUAACACAAAGCAUUAAUUACAUUUUAAUACUCAUCAGUGUUAGUUCAAAUGAAACUUGAGCAAUUUAUUCAUUUCAUCUCAAGUCUAACCAGGUAUAUAUGAAGUACCAUAGAACACAGGAUAUCUCAUAAACAUCUGCCUUCUACUACAUUAUAGGUUGUGCCAUGCCAGAGUCUGGUUUACAUUUAUUUUAAGAACAUUUUGCACACCCUUUAUCUGCUUUCUAGAAUAAGAUGUAGAUAGAUAUUUUAAAUUAUAUGUUGUUUUGUUUUAUGAAAGGAUCUCACUGUAUAUUCUUGGCUGUCCUGGGAACUCAUAUAGACCAGAUUGGCCUUAAACUCAACAGAGAUCUGCCUACCAACUGCUGGAGUUAAAGGCAGACUAAAGGCACGACAUCCAGUGAUGUUCUUACAAUCUAAUUGACUUAUAGAUGCCAGUUUAUCAGCAUAUUAAUCACACUGUACAGUUUGUUUUUCCAGACUUCAGUUCUUCAGAGGUAAAAAUGCUGUCUUUAAAUUUUGUGCUAUUUUCUCUGCUACUAUGAUGGACUUCCCAAUUGUUGAUUCAGUUAUUUGGACUGCUUUGAGAUGAUGUAAUAUAUUUAACAAGAAAUGAUUUUUUUUCUCCUUUGCAACCUUCUAUUAAAUUGUUUGGACAAGCAUUUCCUCAUUUUCUUUCUCUCAUUUUGUGAAGCCUCUUAAAGAACAGAAAGUUGAAGACUUAGAUUCUAAUUCAGAUUUUGACAAAUCUAUUCUGAAAGAACAUUUAAUAGCAGAGCUGAUAGAAUAACUUGUUUGAGUAGAUACAUAUAUUUAGCAGCAAGAGGAAGGAGAGUGGAGAGGUCAUGUGAUGACCUUCUAGGAGAAUUACACAUAAGUAUGUCUUAAGAAGAGUAAACAGACUAGCAUCAGUUGGGAUUAAGGAACCUACUUUAAACAAGUUGUGGAUUUUUUUUUUCAGGUUUCUAAACUAGAAGUUAUCAGAAUCCAGCUGGGACUUUAAAUAUGGAGGAAUAGUGUAAUUAAGAACUUGAACACUGCCAUGUACAGAAACACAUGCCUUUAGUCCCAUCACUCAGGGCAGAAGCAGGAGGAUCGCUGUGAGAAGUCAUCCUGGUCUAUAUUCUGAGACUCUAUCUCAAAACCAAACAACCAGGCGUGGUGGUGCAUGCCUUUAAUCUCAGCACUUGGGAGGCAGAGGCAGGUGGAUUUCUAAGUUCAAGGCCAGCCUGCUCUACAGAGUGAGUUCCAGGACAGCCAGGGCCACGCAGAGAAACCCUGUCUCAAAAAAAAAAAAAAAAAGUUGAACACUAACUCCUGUAUCGCAGUAUAUUUCCAUGUUUAAAAUAGAGCUACUUGUAUCUAUCUCAAUGCUAUAACUAUUAUACAAAAUACUAUUUUAAAAUACAGAAAAUAGUAAACAGAAUACAAUAAGACACAAAAUGUUAUUUACUGGUAUGUUAGGUGGGAAAGGGGGCAAAGGAAGAGUGCAUCCCUAAAAGUAAGGUUUUCUUCUGUCUAGUUUCUUACAAUGAACUUUGAACAACAGUCACUUUUCUUAAUCUAUGAUAAUAUAUGUUGUGCCAUUGUUUCCUACUGUAUAGUGAAGAGGGGUUAGUAGUUAUUAAUUCCGGUUUUAGAUGAUGAACCGAGGUGUUAGGUUUAUGGUGAAGCACAUUAGAAUUGAAAUUCAAGUCGUCUGGUGUAUAAUGCUUUUUCUAUCAUGGUAUGGUAUUACCAGGUCUUAAUCUGUUAGUGGUUAUUGGUAUUUGCAUUCAAGCUAUUUUGCCUUUAAGAAACCAAAAGAUGAGCCGGGCAUGGUGGUGCACACCUUUAAUCCCAGCACUUGGGAGGCAGAGACAGGUGGAUUUCUGAGUUCCAGGCCAGUUUGGUCUACAGAGUGAGUACCAGGACAGCCAAGGCUAUAUAGAGAAACCCUGUCUCGAAAAACC
This 2676-nucleotide long non-coding RNA is filed under the name Mus musculus (house mouse). RNAcentral describes it as "long non-coding RNA chr14:45230042-45232718". The record is from RNAcentral. Lineage: Eukaryota; Metazoa; Chordata; Mammalia; Rodentia; Muridae.